AUUGAAGUAUUCCACAGGGGUCAAAAUUUAAAAAUGCUCAAAUCAUUUUGAAACAUACACCACAUUAUUUGUCUGACCAUAAAGGUUCCAAAAAGGUAGAGUUUGGACUAACUAUGGCUGAAUGUUAUCGUGU
Thalassophryne amazonica is the source of this 133-nucleotide long non-coding RNA. RefSeq lists it as uncharacterized. The transcript has 3 exons. The record is from RefSeq and is a predicted model, not a curated record. NCBI's taxonomy places the organism in Eukaryota, Metazoa, Chordata, Actinopteri, Batrachoidiformes, Batrachoididae.